Molecule: microRNA, 23 nt
Filed under: Bombyx mori (domestic silkworm)
Lineage: Eukaryota; Metazoa; Arthropoda; Insecta; Lepidoptera; Bombycidae
Description: bmo-miR-3401
Source: miRBase by way of RNAcentral
UUUACAGUGUAAAUCGUUCGUGA